AAGAAUUUAGUUUAUUAAAACAUUAAUUUGUCAAAUUAAAAAAAUUAUUAACAUAAUAUUUCUUU
This 65-nucleotide transfer RNA is filed under the name Atkinsoniella xanthoabdomena. RNAcentral describes it as "tRNA-Asp". Lineage: Eukaryota; Metazoa; Arthropoda; Insecta; Hemiptera; Cicadellidae. The record is from RNAcentral.